This 405-nucleotide ribosomal RNA is filed under the name uncultured bacterium. RNAcentral's name for it is "bacterial SSU rRNA". It matches the Rfam family "Bacterial small subunit ribosomal RNA", at positions 355 to 776 of the family's 1533-position model. The record is from RNAcentral.
UGAGGAAUAUUGCUCAAUGGGCGAAAGCCUGAAGCAGCAACGCCGCGUGGGCGAAGAAGGUUUUCGGAUCGUAAAGCCCUUUUCUGUGUGACGAGAACGGACGGUAGCACAGGAAUAAGUGUCGGCUAACUACGUGCCAGCAGCCGCGGUAAAACGUAGGACGCAAGCAUUAUCCGGAAUUACUGGGCGUAAAGAGCAAGCAGGCGGUUGGAUAAGUCAAUUAUGAAAGCUCUCGGCUAAACUGGGAGAGGAUAGUUGAUACUGUUCGACUAGAGUUGAGAAGAGGAACGUAGAAUUCCGCGUGUAGUGGUGAAAUGCGUAGAUAUGCGGAGGAAUACCAGAGGCGAAGGCGACGUUCUGGUCUCAAACUGACGCUGAGGUGCGAAAGCAUGGGUAGCGAACGGG